GUACACGCUGUGACUAGCAUAUCAAUAAGCGGAGGAAAAGAAACUAACAAGGAUUCCCCUAGUAACGGCGAGUGAAGCGGGAAGAGCUCAAAUUUGAAAUCUUAAAGGGUUUCCCUUUACGAAUUGUAGUUUAAAGAAGUGUUUUCUGUUGAGGUUUUGGUAAAAGUUCUUUGGAAUAGGACAUCAUAGAGGGUGAGAAUCCCGUAUUUGACCUUUACUUUCAACUUUGUGAUACACUUUCAAAGAGUCGGAUUGUUUGGGAAUGCAGUCCAAAAUGGGUGGUAAAUUUCAUCUAAAGCUAAAUAUUGGCGAGAGACCGAUAGCGAACAAGUACCUGUGAGGGAAAGAUGAAAAGAACUUUGAAAAGAGAGUUAAACAGUACGUGAAAUUGUCAAAAGGGAAGCGUUUGACACCAGUGUUGUUUUUCUGAAAAUCAAUUAAAGAACUGUUUAUGCUAAGUUGUUUAGACUUUAUCAGCUAACUGUUUAGUUUUGAGCUUUUCUUUAAUGCACUUUUCAGUUAACAAGUCAACAUCAAUUUCUUUUGCUGUAAAAAAGCUUGAGGAAGGUGGCUUGAGAUUCGUCUUAAGUGUUUAUAGCCUCUUGCCUAUGCAGUCGGAGAGAUUGAGGUCUGCAGCGUAGAUCCUUCGGGGCUAAAUGCAUUUGUGCUAAGUUAUAGCAUUUUAUAGACAACUUGUUGACUAUGAUUUGUCUUGUAGCUUACUCGCUUAUGUUAUUUUACCUACGCUUAGGAUGUUGAGUCGUAGAGCACGCAG
RNAcentral lists this ribosomal RNA (775 nucleotides) under uncultured Neocallimastigales. RNAcentral's name for it is "partial large subunit ribosomal RNA". It matches the Rfam family "Eukaryotic large subunit ribosomal RNA", at positions 22 to 628 of the family's 3401-position model. The record is from RNAcentral. Lineage: Eukaryota; Fungi; Neocallimastigomycota; Neocallimastigomycetes; Neocallimastigales.